This 253-nucleotide ribosomal RNA is filed under the name uncultured bacterium. RNAcentral's name for it is "partial 16S ribosomal RNA". It matches the Rfam family "Archaeal small subunit ribosomal RNA", at positions 474 to 727 of the family's 1478-position model. The record is from RNAcentral.
UACCAGCACCCCGAGUGGUCGGGACGAUUAUUGGGCCUAAAGCAUCCGUAGCCGGUUUUACAAGUCCUCCGUUAAAUCCAGCUGCUUAACAGAUGGGCUGCGGAGGAUACUAUAAGACUAGGAGGCAGGAGAGGCAAGCGGUACUCGGUGGGUAGGGGUAAAAUCCGUUGAUCCAUUGAAGACCACCAGUGGCGAAGGCGGCUUGCCAGAAUGCGCUCGACGGUGAGGGAUGAAAGCUGGGGGAGCAAACCGG